Molecule: ribosomal RNA, 455 nt
Filed under: uncultured Pelagophyceae
Lineage: Eukaryota; Pelagophyceae
Description: partial Eukaryotic large subunit ribosomal RNA
Rfam family: Eukaryotic large subunit ribosomal RNA
Source: RNAcentral
UAGCAAAUACUCAAAUGAGAACUUUGAGGACUGAAGUGGGGAAAGGUUCCAUGUGAACAGCAGUUGGACAUGGGUUAGUCGAUCCUAAGGCAUAGGGAAGUUCCGUUUGAAAGGCGCCCUCGUGCGCCGUGUGCCGAAAGGGAAGCCGGUUAACAUUCCGGCACCUAGAUGUGGAUUCUCCACGGCAACGUAACUGAACGCGGAGACGUCGGCGGGGGUCCUGGGAAGAGUUCUCUUUUCUUCUUGACAGCCUAUCACCCUGAAAUCGGUUUGUCCGGAGCUAGGGUUCUAUGGCUGGCAGAGCGCCGCACUUUUGCGGCGUCCGGUGCGCCCCCGACGACCCUUGAAAAUCCGCGGGAAGGAAUAGUUUUCACGCUAGGUCGUACUCAUAACCGCAGCAGGUCUCCAAGGUGAACAGCCUCUAGUUGAUAGAACAAUGUAGAUAAGGGAAGUCG